RNAcentral lists this ribosomal RNA (430 nucleotides) under uncultured bacterium. RNAcentral describes it as "bacterial SSU rRNA". It matches the Rfam family "Bacterial small subunit ribosomal RNA", at positions 355 to 776 of the family's 1533-position model. The record is from RNAcentral.
UGGGGAAUCUUCCGCAAUGGACGAAAGUCUGACGGAGCAACGCCGCGUGAGUGAAGAAGGUUUUCGGACCGUAAAACUCUGUCUUUUAGGGCGAACGUAUUGCUGGUGAACAAUCAGCGAUAGUGACGGUACUAAAGGAGGAAGCCACGGCUAACUACGUGCCAGCAGCCGCGGUAAUACGUAGGUGGCGAGCGUUGUCCGGAAUUAUUGGGCGUAAAGCGCGCGUAGGCGGGAUAGUCAGUCUGUUGUAAAAGUGCGGGGCUCAACCCCGUAAGGUCAAUGGAAACUGCUAUUCUUGAGUGCAGGAGAGGAAAGUGGAAUUCCCAGUGUAGCGGUGAAAUGCGUAGAUAUUGGGAGGAACACCAGUGGCGAAGGCGACUUUCUGGACUGUGUCUGACGCUGAGGCGCGAAAGCCAGGGGAGCGAACGGG